This 297-nucleotide ribosomal RNA is filed under the name uncultured Acidovorax sp. RNAcentral describes it as "partial 16S ribosomal RNA". It matches the Rfam family "Bacterial small subunit ribosomal RNA", at positions 1082 to 1382 of the family's 1533-position model. Lineage: Bacteria; Pseudomonadati; Pseudomonadota; Betaproteobacteria; Burkholderiales; Comamonadaceae. The record is from RNAcentral.
ACGUCCGAAACGAGCGCAACCCUUGUCAUUAGUUGCUACAUUCAGUUGGGCACUCUAAUGAGACUGCCGGUGACAAACCGGAGGAAGGUGGGGAUGACGUCAAGUCCUCAUGGCCCUUAUAGGUGGGGCUACACACGUCAUACAAUGGAUGGUACAAAGGGUCGCCAACCCGCGAGGGGGAGCCAAUCCCAUAAAGCCAUUCGUAGUCCGGAUCGCAGUCUGCAACUCGACUGCGUGAAGUCGGAAUCGCUAGUAAUCGUGGAUCAGAAUGUCACGGUGAAUACGUUCCCGGGUCUU